This 259-nucleotide ribosomal RNA is filed under the name uncultured bacterium. Its description in RNAcentral is "partial 16S ribosomal RNA". It matches the Rfam family "Bacterial small subunit ribosomal RNA", at positions 793 to 1055 of the family's 1533-position model. The record is from RNAcentral.
GUCCACGCCGUAAACGAUGAUUACUCGAUGUGUGCGAUAAACUGUACGUGUCUAAGCGAAAGCAAUAAGUAAUCCACCUGGGGAGUACGUUCGCAAGAAUGAAACUCAAAGGAAUUGACGGGGGCCCGCACAAGCGGAGGAACAUGUGGUUUAAUUCGAUGGUACGCGAGGAACCUUACCCGGGUUUGAACGCAGAGUGCAUGAGGUGGAAACACUUCUUUCCGCAAGGACUUUCUGCGAGGUGCUGCAUGGUUGUCGU